This 2899-nucleotide ribosomal RNA is filed under the name Klebsiella pneumoniae. Its description in RNAcentral is "23S ribosomal RNA". It matches the Rfam family "Bacterial large subunit ribosomal RNA". The record is from RNAcentral. Lineage: Bacteria; Pseudomonadati; Pseudomonadota; Gammaproteobacteria; Enterobacterales; Enterobacteriaceae.
UUAAGCGACUAAGCGUACACGGUGGAUGCCCUGGCAGUCAGAGGCGAUGAAGGACGUGCUAAUCUGCGAAAAGCGUCGGUAAGGUGAUAUGAACCGUUAUAGCCGGCGAUGUCCGAAUGGGGAAACCCAGUGCAAUUCGUUGCACUAUCGUUAACUGAAUACAUAGGUUAACGAGGCGAACCGGGGGAACUGAAACAUCUAAGUACCCCGAGGAAAAGAAAUCAACCGAGAUUCCCCCAGUAGCGGCGAGCGAACGGGGAGCAGCCCAGAGUCUGAAUCAGCUUGUGUGUUAGUGGAACGGUCUGGAAAGUCCGACGGUACAGGGUGAUAGUCCCGUACACCAAAAUGCACAGGUUGUGAACUCGAAGAGUAGGGCGGGACACGUGGUAUCCUGUCUGAAUAUGGGGGGACCAUCCUCCAAGGCUAAAUACUCCUGACUGACCGAUAGUGAACCAGUACCGUGAGGGAAAGGCGAAAAGAACCCCGGCGAGGGGAGUGAAAAAGAACCUGAAACCGUGUACGUACAAGCAGUGGGAGCACCUUCGGGUGUGACUGCGUACCUUUUGUAUAAUGGGUCAGCGACUUAUAUUCUGUAGCAAGGUUAACCGUAUAGGGGAGCCGCAGGGAAACCGAGUCUUAACUGGGCGUUAAGUUGCAGGGUAUAGACCCGAAACCCGGUGAUCUAGCCAUGGGCAGGUUGAAGGUUGGGUAACACUAACUGGAGGACCGAACCGACUAAUGUUGAAAAAUUAGCGGAUGACUUGUGGCUGGGGGUGAAAGGCCAAUCAAACCGGGAGAUAGCUGGUUCUCCCCGAAAGCUAUUUAGGUAGCGCCUCGUGAACUCAUCUUCGGGGGUAGAGCACUGUUUCGGCUAGGGGGUCAUCCCGACUUACCAACCCGAUGCAAACUACGAAUACCGAAGAAUGUUAUCACGGGAGACACACGGCGGGUGCUAACGUCCGUCGUGAAGAGGGAAACAACCCAGACCGCCAGCUAAGGUCCCAAAGUCAUGGUUAAGUGGGAAACGAUGUGGGAAGGCACAGACAGCCAGGAUGUUGGCUUAGAAGCAGCCAUCAUUUAAAGAAAGCGUAAUAGCUCACUGGUCGAGUCGGCCUGCGCGGAAGAUGUAACGGGGCUAAACCAUGCACCGAAGCUGCGGCAGCGACACUAUGUGUUGUUGGGUAGGGGAGCGUUCUGUAAGCCUGCGAAGGUGACCUGUGAGGGUUGCUGGAGGUAUCAGAAGUGCGAAUGCUGACAUAAGUAACGAUAAAGCGGGUGAAAAGCCCGCUCGCCGGAAGACCAAGGGUUCCUGUCCAACGUUAAUCGGGGCAGGGUGAGUCGACCCCUAAGGCGAGGCCGAAAGGCGUAGUCGAUGGGAAACAGGUUAAUAUUCCUGUACUUGGUGUUACUGCGAAGGGGGGACGGAGAAGGCUAUGUUAGCCGGGCGACGGUUGUCCCGGUUUAAGCAUGUAGGCUGGUUGUCCAGGCAAAUCCGGAUAAUCAAGGCUGAGGUGUGAUGACGAGGCACUACGGUGCUGAAGUAACAAAUGCCCUGCUUCCAGGAAAAGCCUCUAAGCAUCAGGUAACAUUAAAUCGUACCCCAAACCGACACAGGUGGUCAGGUAGAGAAUACCAAGGCGCUUGAGAGAACUCGGGUGAAGGAACUAGGCAAAAUGGUGCCGUAACUUCGGGAGAAGGCACGCUGGUGUGUAGGUGAAGUCCCUGCGGAUGGAGCUGAGACCAGUCGAAGAUACCAGCUGGCUGCAACUGUUUAUUAAAAACACAGCACUGUGCAAACACGAAAGUGGACGUAUACGGUGUGACGCCUGCCCGGUGCCGGAAGGUUAAUUGAUGGGGUUAUCCGUAAGGAGAAGCUCUUGAUCGAAGCCCCGGUAAACGGCGGCCGUAACUAUAACGGUCCUAAGGUAGCGAAAUUCCUUGUCGGGUAAGUUCCGACCUGCACGAAUGGCGUAAUGAUGGCCAGGCUGUCUCCACCCGAGACUCAGUGAAAUUGAACUCGCUGUGAAGAUGCAGUGUACCCGCGGCAAGACGGAAAGACCCCGUGAACCUUUACUAUAGCUUGACACUGAACAUUGAGCCUUGAUGUGUAGGAUAGGUGGGAGGCUUUGAAGCGUGGACGCCAGUCUGCGUGGAGCCAACCUUGAAAUACCACCCUUUAAUGUUUGAUGUUCUAACGUUGGCCCCUUACCGGGGUUGCGGACAGUGUCUGGUGGGUAGUUUGACUGGGGCGGUCUCCUCCCAAAGCGUAACGGAGGAGCACGAAGGUUAGCUAAUCCUGGUCGGACAUCAGGAGGUUAGUGCAAUGGCAUAAGCUAGCUUGACUGCGAGCGUGACGGCGCGAGCAGGUGCGAAAGCAGGUCAUAGUGAUCCGGUGGUUCUGAAUGGAAGGGCCAUCGCUCAACGGAUAAAAGGUACUCCGGGGAUAACAGGCUGAUACCGCCCAAGAGUUCAUAUCGACGGCGGUGUUUGGCACCUCGAUGUCGGCUCAUCACAUCCUGGGGCUGAAGUAGGUCCCAAGGGUAUGGCUGUUCGCCAUUUAAAGUGGUACGCGAGCUGGGUUUAGAACGUCGUGAGACAGUUCGGUCCCUAUCUGCCGUGGGCGCUGGAGAAUUGAGGGGGGCUGCUCCUAGUACGAGAGGACCGGAGUGGACGCAUCACUGGUGUUCGGGUUGUCAUGCCAAUGGCACUGCCCGGUAGCUAAAUGCGGAAGAGAUAAGUGCUGAAAGCAUCUAAGCACGAAACUUGCCCCGAGAUGAGUUCUCCCUGAGACUUUAAGUCUCCUGAAGGAACGUUAAAGACGAUGACGUUGAUAGGCCGGGUGUGUAAGCGCAGCGAUGCGUUGAGCUAACCGGUACUAAUGAACCGUGAGGCUUAACCU